RNAcentral lists this long non-coding RNA (310 nucleotides) under Homo sapiens (human). RNAcentral's name for it is "HSALNT0077673". The record is from RNAcentral. Lineage: Eukaryota; Metazoa; Chordata; Mammalia; Primates; Hominidae.
CAGAUGUCAACUCCCCUUGUAAACGCAGCUGCUCUGUCUCACAACUGGCAAAGAGAACUGAAGGAGUUCCCUUCCCUUUAUGGCUUUUAUCUCUCUGGCUAAUAGGGGAUGAUGCUUAAAGGAGGUAAUUCUUGAGCAAUAAAUCCAGACUGCAAAUAAAACAAGGGAAGAGGGAGGAAAAUCACAAUGUAAGAAGUUUCCUUUGUUUACUACGCUUAAUUGGGAUUCCACACAUGAAUGAAGAAGAGAAGACGGUCUCUCCCAGGGUGACUGGGAAAGGGAAAAAAAGAGGCCGCUGAGAACAAAGCAG